UGGGGGAUAUUGCACAAUGGGCGAAAGCCUGAUGCAGCGACGCCGCGUGGGGGAUGAAGGCCUUCGGGUUGUAAACUUCUUUUGCUCUGAACAAGGCAUGCCUUUGGGGUGUGUUGAGUGUAGGGGUUGAUUAGCGCCGGCUAACUACGUGCCAGCAGCCGCGGUAAUACGUAGGGCGCGAGCGUUGUCGGGAGUUAUUGGGCGUAAAGGGCUUGUAGGUGGCUGUUUGCGUCUGUCGUGAAAGCUCAUGGCUUAACUGUGGGUUUGCGGUGGGUACGGGCUGGCUUGAGUGCAGUAGGGGAGGCUGGAAUUCCUGGUGUAGCGGUGGAAUGCGCAGAUAUCAGGAGGAAUACCGGUGGCGAAGGCGGGUCUCUGGGCUGUUACUGACGCUGAGGAGCGAAAGCGUGGGGAGCGAACAGG
RNAcentral lists this ribosomal RNA (420 nucleotides) under Fusobacteriota bacterium. RNAcentral describes it as "Fusobacteria bacterium partial 16S ribosomal RNA". It matches the Rfam family "Bacterial small subunit ribosomal RNA", at positions 355 to 776 of the family's 1533-position model. Lineage: Bacteria; Fusobacteriati; Fusobacteriota. The record is from RNAcentral.